UGGUGAUUAAAUAGUCCUCCACCCCAAUUUGUGACCUUCUAGAGUUAAAAAUCUAUUAAUUAGCUACUAAUUGAUAACAAAAUAGUAAAGAAUCGUAGCGGCUAAUUGACAACUACUAAUUUAUUACUCCUAGAGCUUAAACUCUAGCGGCCAACACAGAAGAGUUAAAAAUCCCAAUAGCCAAUUGAUAACUACUUAUUAAUUACUCCUCC
This 212-nucleotide long non-coding RNA is filed under the name Coffea arabica (coffee). Its description in RNAcentral is "long non-coding RNA (CARA_LNC007696)". The record is from RNAcentral. Lineage: Eukaryota; Viridiplantae; Streptophyta; Magnoliopsida; Gentianales; Rubiaceae.